This 484-nucleotide ribosomal RNA is filed under the name uncultured bacterium. Its description in RNAcentral is "partial 16S ribosomal RNA". It matches the Rfam family "Bacterial small subunit ribosomal RNA", at positions 30 to 507 of the family's 1533-position model. The record is from RNAcentral.
AUUGAACGCUGGCGGCAGGCCUAACACAUGCAAGUCGAGCGGAUGAAGGGAGCUUGCUCCUGGAUUCAGCGGCGGACGGGUGAGUAAUGCCUAGGAAUCUGCCUGGUAGAGGGGGAUAACGUCCGGAAACGGGCGCUAAUACCGCAUACGUCCUGAGGGAGAAAGUGGGGGAUCUUCGGACCUCACGCUAUCAGAUGAGCCUAGGUCGGAUUAGCUAGUUGGUGGGGUAAAGGCUUACCAAGGCGACGAUCCGUAACUGGUCUGAGAGGAUGAUCAGUCACACUGGAACUGAGACACGGUCCAGACUCCUACGGGAGGCAGCAGUGGGGAAUCUUGGACAAUGGGCGAAAGCCUGAUCCAGCCAUGCCGCGUGUGUGAAGAAGGUCUUCGGAUUGUAAAGCACUUUAAGUUGGGAGGAAGAGCAGUAAGUUAAUACCUUGCUGUUUUGACGUUACCAACAGAAUAAGCACCGGCUAACUUCGUG